GCGAAGGGCUGCACUUCUACCAGUUUGAGGGCAUCCACAGCGCCAAGGCCUUUAAACAGCUGUACAGGAGCAGGAUGAACGAGCUGGAGAUGGACCAGGAGACCAGGAGAGGAUCAUAGCCGACUCGAACCUGGCCUUCAAGUUCAACAUGGAGAGCUGGAGGAGGCAGGGAAGAGCAUCAAGGAGGUGGUGUUGGACGCAGGGGUCCCAGGACAUGGUCAUGGGGACAUGGACGGAGACAUUAACAAGUGCCCUUACUACGCUGCCAAAAUGGUGGCCAGUGGCAACACUAACUUUGCCUGUCAGUUGGCCAUGAUGCUGCUGAAACAUCCUGUUGGUCAGAUGGUUCUGGCCAGCUGGGCGGCUGCUGUCGCCGGAUUGGCUGCCUGGUACCUCAUGUGAUCUGUCACGGACUGAUUCAGCCAAUCAUAUGUUUAAAGGGCGGAAGACUCAACCAGGAAAGGGUGGACUUCUGGAGGAGGAUGGCCAAGCUUUGUCCAGACUAAUGAACUUGUUCCCUCCCUCAAUCCUUUUCCUUCUUUAUUUCUCUCACUCCCCUGGUUGCUGUGUUGAUACCAGCUGGUUGUUGUAGUAAUGAUGUUACUGUAACGUUGUGGGGUAUGAACCCGUCUUUAAUGAAUCUUUUCACUGCCAACAUGCAGAUGAUCUCCUUAGUAAUGUCCUCUUCAGUACUUAUCACCUGCACUAUUCUGCUUAUCAACACUGAAUAGUUACAUUGUUCAACUUUCAUUUAUGUGUAUUGAAACUAUACUGUAUUUUAGGCAUAUACAGUUGAAGUGGGAAGUUUACAUCCACUUAGGUUGGAGUCAUUAAAACUAGUUUUUCAGCCACUCAACACAUGUCUUGUUGUUUUGCCAGUCAGUUAGGACAUCUUCCUUCUGCA
This is a long non-coding RNA of Oncorhynchus masou masou (cherry salmon), 904 nucleotides long. RefSeq lists it as uncharacterized. The record is from RefSeq and is a predicted model, not a curated record. The transcript has 3 exons. NCBI's taxonomy places the organism in Eukaryota, Metazoa, Chordata, Actinopteri, Salmoniformes, Salmonidae.